RNAcentral lists this small RNA (29 nucleotides) under Bombyx mori (domestic silkworm). RNAcentral's name for it is "ovarian small RNA-8075". Lineage: Eukaryota; Metazoa; Arthropoda; Insecta; Lepidoptera; Bombycidae. The record is from RNAcentral.
UGACAUGUUUGCUUCCGGUGCUUACCGUC